AAGAGCACCAGCUCUGGAGGGAUCCGGUUAUUUCCGAGCCAGGACGCCGCCCUGGGUCAGCGCGGGGGAGCCCUCCGGUCCGCGCUUCCGGACCGCGUAAACGCGCCCUCCCUUCGCGUCACGUUACUUCUGCACCAGAGGGACGGGUCUCGCGUAGGGGGUGAGGUGGGCGAGGACAGGUGGGGGCUGUCAGUGGAGGCACCGGGAGUGCUGAGGCCGGGGCGCCCCUCCAGCCCCGAACUUACCUUCGGAAACUUCGAAGUCGGCGGUCCCAUUGAGCUGGCACAGGCACCAGGAGGCUUGGUCGGCGGCGGCGGCUCCGGCAGGCGCGGCGGGGGCGCGGCCAGCUGCAAAACAGCGAGGGCGCGGGCGAAGCAGCUCCCCUUUUGGGGGAAUUUCCCCUUGGCCAUGUGGACACAGGAGUGCCACCAGUCACAGCGUCCCGCCACCCCCAUACAGUUGUGGGGAUCAGUGUUUGGCAGUCUUGCCUGCUGACAGUUCUCUGCUGGGUUCCUCUCCAGGACUUGUCCUCAGCUACAGAGCUGCCUUACCCAAGGUCCCGCCUGUACAAAAAGAACGUUUCCCUGCGGCAGCUCACAUCCAAUGAUGCUCUCUGCAGGGGAGUCAAGGCCAGGCUUCCUUGCUUCAAGUGGGACAGUUUGGAAGCACCAUCCAGCUCCAGGGCUUCUUGAGGGCUCAGCUGAGACCUGUGAUGUGAUGCAUAAGCCUGCAACAUCUCCUUCUCCCCCAUCGUGCUUCCUUCCCCACCACUGUCCAAAGAGCCCUCCCCCUCCCACUAAACUUCCUGCCUGCAAAUUCCCAUCUCCCAGUCUGUGUCCCAGGAACCCAACCCACAACAGUGGGUACCAGGAGUGCUCUGAGAAGGAGAAAGCAGACUCCGACGUGGAUUUGGGGCUGGUUCAUCUGCUGACCAGCUGGCAACAAGGUCUCCAUCACAGUGGGAGGGCACAGGGAGUGACAGCAAGGAGGAAGCUGUUGACUGUUGACAUGCUCGCCGGUGGAGAACUGGGAAGUUCUGCUGGCAGAAGCCAUGUGUCAGGGUUUGGGGGAAAAGAAAUCAUGACUACGUGUAUGGAAUUUUAUGGCUCUCCCUUGGGGCUAUCAAUGCUUUGGAGAAAGACUUGGAAAAGCAGAGGGCGAAUAUUCACCAACUGAAGGCCACAUGGGAAAGCCAGAGGACCUCCUUGGCAGCAUAUAAAGAAACUCAUCUUCUGGAAGGCAGAAAAAACUGAAAACCAGCCCAGGACGUAGCUCCAAGAGAGCAGAGUUCCAGAGGAGGCUGUGUUCCCCACUUAGCCUUGAGAAGGAACAGGACCCCACAAAGAGUGGGACGGGAUGUCUGGGUCAAUGCCCACAUAAAAUUGUGAUUUCCCCAGUUUCCCCGAAACUACUGGACCUGCAGAAGUGGCCACCUCUUCCCAUAAAGGUGAGCACUUUGCUGGAAGAUGCUGCCGAGGCCUCUGUCCUGCAACUGCUCCAGGCUGCCCUCAGCACCCACCCCCACUGCCCAUCCUGGCCAUCAGGUGAGGUAUAAAUGACGUCAUAGCACCACCCAGCUGGGAACCAGCUCGGCCUGCGAAGGGAGGACAGGACUCUACCUGGAAGGAGCUGAGGACCCACCAAAGGGACCUAACACCCUGGCAAGGAUGCUCUGCUAGUCUGCUGUUUGGAUGGUUCUGGAAGCUUGGAGAAAGCGUCGGCCCACACUAAGUGAAGAGACACACCAGGCCCCCCGGUGGCAGAUGCUGGAAGGAGAGACGGAAAGAGUCAGCGCAGAGGCCCAAGCUCAAGAGGAGAUACUGUGUGCUGGGGGUUGAAUUGUGCCGCCCAAAAGCCACGUUCAAGUCUUAACCCCCAGUCCCAUGAGUGUGAACUUAUUUGUAAAUAGGGUCUUUGGUGAUAUGAUUAGUUAAGAUGAAGCCAAACUGGAUUAGGGCAGGCCCUGAUCCCAUGUGAUUAGUUGCUUUAUUUCAGGAGUAGCUUAGCAAGGUAUCUCUAGCUCACAGUCAUUUGGGGAGCUCAUUACAAUAACUGCAGCAACCUUGCUCCUGAUGGUUAAGUGCGGCCCCCGGCCUCAUAUUUCUGCAAAACAUUAUUCACGUUGCUAGCAGGGAGCCAGUUUCUGUUACCUGCAGAGGACAGCCCCAGGUCUGAGCUUUUGGGGGGCUUGGGAAGUGAAGUGUCCUCUGGGCUCUCCUGUGGAGCACAGGUGCCUGGUGGAUUUUCUGGCCUUUCACGGUAUUUUCUUUUCCUAGGGCUGUUGUCACAAAUUACCACAAACCGGGUGGCUUAAUAGAAAUGUACCACCCCAUGGUCCCAGCGGGCAGGUCUGAAGGCAUCAGGAGGACCGUGCUACCUCUGGAACUUGUAGGGAAGGACUCUUCCUUGCCUCUUCCCAGCAUCUGGGGGUUUGCCGGCACCCCUAACCCUAACCCUUGGCUCACAGCCACAGCACCUCACUCUGCCUCUGCUGUCACGUGGCCUUCUCCCCUCGUGGUGUGUGUCCAAAAUCCCUCCAGAACCGCAGCUCCGGCUCUGCUAGAGAAUGCCAGUCAGAGACCCCGCCAUUUGGUUCUCAGACAGGACACCCCAAGCUGCAGAUGCCCUGCUUGCUAGGGAAGAAUGGGGAGGCCCCAGGCAGCACGCACGCCCCAAGAGGCUGUAUCUGCAAGACUGCACCCCCGCCCCACCCCUCCACGGAUGAGCAGCAGAGAAACGGACAUUUCCAUCUUACUGCAUUUCUCACU
Molecule: long non-coding RNA, 2768 nt
Organism: Choloepus didactylus (southern two-toed sloth)
Lineage: Eukaryota; Metazoa; Chordata; Mammalia; Pilosa; Megalonychidae
Exons: 3
Source: RefSeq, a predicted model, not a curated record